UACAGAGGUCUCGAGCGUUGUUCGGAUUCAUUGGGCGUAAAGGGUGCGUAGGCGGCGAGCUAAGUUUGGUGUGAAAUCCUGGGGCUUAACCUCAGAAUUGCACUGAAUACUGGUUUGCUUAGAGGACUGGAGAGGAGAUUGGAAUUCACGGUGUAGCAGUGAAAUGCGUAGAUAUCGUGAGGAAGACCAGUGGCGAAGGCGAAUCUCUGGACAGAUCCUGACGCUGAGGCACGAAGGCCAGGGGAGCAAACGGG
RNAcentral lists this ribosomal RNA (254 nucleotides) under uncultured bacterium. Its description in RNAcentral is "partial 16S ribosomal RNA". It matches the Rfam family "Bacterial small subunit ribosomal RNA", at positions 524 to 776 of the family's 1533-position model. The record is from RNAcentral.